RNAcentral lists this ribosomal RNA (497 nucleotides) under uncultured bacterium. RNAcentral describes it as "partial 16S ribosomal RNA". It matches the Rfam family "Bacterial small subunit ribosomal RNA", at positions 28 to 507 of the family's 1533-position model. The record is from RNAcentral.
GAUGAACGCUGGCGGCGUGCCUAAUACAUGCAAGUCGAGCGAACAGACGAGGAGCUUGCUCCUCUGACGUUAGCGGCGGACGGGUGAGUAACACGUGGAUAACCUGCCUAUAAGACUGGGAUAACUUCGGGAAACCGGAGCUAAUACCGGAUAAUAUAUUGAACCGCAUGGUUCAAUAGUGAAAGCCGGUUUUGCUGUCACUUAUAGAUGGAUCCGCGCCGCAUUAGCUAGUUGGUAAGGUAACGGCUUACCAAGGCAACGAUGCGUAGCCGACCUGAGAGGGUGAUCGGCCACACUGGAACUGAGACACGGUCCAGACUCCUACGGGAGGCAGCAGUAGGGAAUCUUCCGCAAUGGGCGAAAGCCUGACGGAGCAACGCCGCGUGAGUGAUGAAGGUCUUCGGAUCGUAAAACUCUGUUAUUAGGGAAGAACAAAUGUGUAAGUAACUAUGCACGUCUUGACGGUACCUAAUCAGAAAGCCACGGCUAACUACGUG